This 238-nucleotide ribosomal RNA is filed under the name uncultured bacterium. Its description in RNAcentral is "partial 16S ribosomal RNA". It matches the Rfam family "Bacterial small subunit ribosomal RNA", at positions 95 to 334 of the family's 1533-position model. The record is from RNAcentral.
CCGGCGCACGGGUGAGUAACGCGUAUGCAACCUGCCCGAUACCGGGGUAUAGCCCAUGGAAACGUGGAUUAGCACCCCAUAGUACUUUUAUCCUGCAUGGGAUGUGAGUUAAAUGUUCAAGGUAUCGGAUGGGCAUGCGUCCUAUUAGUUAGUUGGCGGGGUAACAGCCCACCAAGACGAUGAUAGGUAGGGGUUCUGAGAGGAAGGUCCCCCACAUUGGAACUGAGACACGGUCCAA